ACCAGCUUGAAAUACCGGUUCUCGUACGAUCACCGAAGUUAAGCAACGUCGAACCUGGUCAGUACGGGUGACCGCUUGGGAAUACAAGGUGCUGUAAG
RNAcentral lists this ribosomal RNA (98 nucleotides) under Acanthosepion pharaonis. Lineage: Eukaryota; Metazoa; Mollusca; Cephalopoda; Sepiida; Sepiidae. The record is from RNAcentral.